AUUGAACGCUGGCGGCAUGCCUUACACAUGCAAGUCGAACGGCAGCACGGGAGCAAUCCUGGUGGCGAGUGGCGAACGGGUGAGUAAUAUAUCGGAACGUGCCCAGUCGUGGGGGAUAACGCAGCGAAAGCUGUGCUAAUACCGCAUACGAUCUAAGGAUGAAAGCGGGGGAUCGCAAGACCUCGCGCGAUUGGAGCGGCCGAUAUCAGAUUAGCUAGUUGGUGGGGUAAAGGCCCACCAAGGCGACGAUCUGUAGCUGGUCUGAGAGGACGACCAGCCACACUGGAACUGAGACACGGUCCAGACUCCUGCGGGAGGCAGCAGGGGGGAAUUUUGGACAAUGGGCGCAAGCCUGAUCCAGCAAUGCCGCGUGCAGGAUGAAGGCCUUCGGGUUGUAAACUGCUUUUGUACGGAACGAAACGGCCCUUUCUAAUACAGGGGGCUAAUGACGGUACCGUAAGAAUAAGCACCGGCUAACUACGUGCCAGCCGCCGCGGUAA
This 500-nucleotide ribosomal RNA is filed under the name uncultured bacterium. Its description in RNAcentral is "partial 16S ribosomal RNA". It matches the Rfam family "Bacterial small subunit ribosomal RNA", at positions 29 to 523 of the family's 1533-position model. The record is from RNAcentral.